This 278-nucleotide ribosomal RNA is filed under the name uncultured bacterium. Its description in RNAcentral is "partial 16S ribosomal RNA". It matches the Rfam family "Bacterial small subunit ribosomal RNA", at positions 56 to 334 of the family's 1533-position model. The record is from RNAcentral.
UGCAAGUCGAACGGUAACAGGCUAGCUUGCUAGUGCUGACGAGUGGCGGACGGGUGAGUAACGCGUAGGAAUCUACCCAGUUGUGGGGGAUAGCCCGGAGAAAUCCGGAUUAAUACCGCAUACGCCCUACGGGGGAAAACAGGGGAUCUUCGGACCUUGUGCAAUUGGAUGAGCCUGCGUUAGAUUAGCUAGUUGGUGGGGUAAAGGCCUACCAAGGCGACGAUCUAUAGCUGGUCUGAGAGGAUGAUCAGCCACAUCGGGACUGAGACACGGCCCGG